This 1507-nucleotide ribosomal RNA is filed under the name uncultured bacterium. RNAcentral's name for it is "partial 16S ribosomal RNA". It matches the Rfam family "Bacterial small subunit ribosomal RNA". The record is from RNAcentral.
CACGGAUCCAGAGUUUGAUCAUGGCUCAGGAUGAACGCUAGCGGCAGGCUUAACACAUGCAAGUCGAGGGGCAUCAUGGUGGUAGCUUGCUACCGCUGAUGGCGACCGGCGCACGGGUGAGUAACACGUAUCCAACCUGCCUUGAGCUCAGGGAUAGCCCUCUGAAAGGAGGAUUAAUACCUGAUGUGGUUGUUUGCUGACAUCAGCUUUCAAUUAAAGAUUUAUCGGCUCAUGAUGGGGAUGCGUCUGAUUAGCUUGUUGGCGGGGUAACGGCCCACCAAGGCGACGAUCAGUAGGGGUUCUGAGAGGAAGGUCCCCCACAUAGGAACUGAGACACGGUCCUAACUCCUACGGGAGGCAGCAGUGAGGAAUAUUGGUCAAUGGUCGAGAGACUGAACCAGCCAAGUAGCGUGAAGGAUGACUGCCCUACGGGUUGUAAACUUCUUUUAUGCGGGAAUAAAGUGUGGCACGUGUGCCAUUUUGUAUGUACCGCAUGAAUAAGCAUCGGCUAAUUCCGUGCCAGCAGCCGCGGUAAUACGGAAGAUGCGAGCGUUAUCCGGAUUUAUUGGGUUUAAAGGGAGCGUAGGCGGACGCUUAAGUCUGCGGUAAAAUGUCGUUGCUCAACAUCGGCGUGCCGUGGAAACUGGGUGUCUUGAAUGUGCACAAGGUGGAUGGAAUUCGUGGUGUAGCGGUGAAAUGCUUAGAUAUCACGAAGAACUCCGAUUGCGAAGGCAGUCCACUGGGGCAUGAUUGACGCUGAGGCUCGAAAGCCGGGGUAGCGAACGGGAUUAGAUACCCCGGUAGUCCCAGCUGUAAACGAUGAGUGCUAGGUGUGGGAGGUAUCGACUCCUCCCGUGCCGGAGUCAACGCAAUAAGCACUCCGCCUGGGGAGUACGGUCGCAAGACUGAAACUCAAAGGAAUUGACGGGGGCCCGCACAAGCGGUGGAGUAUGUGGUUUAAUUCGACGCAACGCGAAGAACCUUACCAAGCCUUGACAUUGAUUGAUGGUCUAUGAAAGUAGACGUUCUCUUCGGAGACAAGAAAACAGGUGGUGCAUGGCUGUCGUCAGCUCGUGUCGUGAGAUGUUGGGUUAAGUCCCGCAACGAGCGCAACCCCUACACUGUGUUGCCAGCGAGUAAAGUCGGGGACUCACAGAGGACAGCCCGAGAUAAUCGGGAGGAAGGCGGGGAUGACGUCAAGUCAUCAUGCCCCAUAUGGCUUGGGCUACACACGUACUACAAUGGGACGGAACAGAGGGAAGCGAAGUCGUGAGGCAGAGCAAAACCGAAAAAACGUGCCACAGUUCGGAUUGCAGGCUGAAACUCGCCUGCAUGAAGUCGGAAUCGCUAGUAAUCGCAGGUCAGCAUACUGCGGUGAAUACGUUCCCGGGCCUUGUACACACCGCCCGUCACACCACGGAAGUCGAUCACACCCGAAGUGCAGAGAUGCCCUAAGGCGGGGUCGGUGACUGGGGUGAAGUCGUAACAAGGUAGCCGUAAGCUUCAC